This 468-nucleotide ribosomal RNA is filed under the name uncultured bacterium. RNAcentral describes it as "partial 16S ribosomal RNA". It matches the Rfam family "Bacterial small subunit ribosomal RNA", at positions 28 to 507 of the family's 1533-position model. The record is from RNAcentral.
GACGAACGCUGGCGGCGUGCUUAACACAUGCAAGUCGAACGGAAAGGCCCUGCUUUUGUGGGGUGCUCGAGUGGCGAACGGGUGAGUAACACGUGAGUAACCUGCCCUUGACUUUGGGAUAACUUCAGGAAACUGGGGCUAAUACCGGAUAGGAGCUCCUGCUGCAUGGUGGGGGUUGGAAAGUUUCGGCGGUUGGGGAUGGACUCGCGGAUUAUCGGCCUGUUGGUGGGGUAGUGGCUUACCAAGGCUUUGACGGGUAGCCGGCCUGAGAGGGUGACCGGCCACAUUGGGACUGAGAGACGGCCCAGACGCCUACGGGAGGCAGCAGGGGAGAAUAUUGCACAAUGGGCGGAAGCCUGAUGCAGCAACGCCGCGUGCGGGAUGACGGCCUUCGGGUUGUAAACCGCUUUCGCCUGUGACGAAGCGUGAGUGACGGUAAUGGGUAAAGAAGCACCGGCUAACUACGUG